CCUACGGGAGGCAGCAGUGGGGAAUAUUGGACAAUGGGCGAAAGCCUGAUCCAGCCAUGCCGCGUGUGUGAAGAAGGCCUUCGGGUUGUAAAGCACUUUCAGUGGGGAAGAAAGCCUUGGGGCUAAUACCCUCGAGGAAGGACAUCACCCACAGAAGAAGCACCGGCUAACUCCGUGCCAGCAGCCGCGGUAAUACGGAGGGUGCGAGCGUUAAUCGGAAUUAAUGGGCGUAAAGCGCGCGUAGGCGGUCUGAUAAGCCGGUUGUGAAAGCCCCGGGCUCAACCUGGGAACGGCAUCCGGAACUGUCAGGCUAGAGUGCAGGAGAGGAAGGUAGAAUUCCCGGUGUAGCGGUGAAAUGCGUAGAGAUCGGGAGGAAUACCAGUGGCGAAGGCGGCCUUCUGGACUGACACUGACGCUGAGGUGCGAAAGCGUGGGUAGCAAACAGGAUUAGAUACCCCAGUAGUC
This 465-nucleotide ribosomal RNA is filed under the name Vreelandella stevensii. RNAcentral describes it as "partial 16S ribosomal RNA". It matches the Rfam family "Bacterial small subunit ribosomal RNA", at positions 338 to 795 of the family's 1533-position model. Lineage: Bacteria; Pseudomonadati; Pseudomonadota; Gammaproteobacteria; Oceanospirillales; Halomonadaceae. The record is from RNAcentral.